Molecule: small RNA, 946 nt
Filed under: Histoplasma capsulatum
Lineage: Eukaryota; Fungi; Ascomycota; Eurotiomycetes; Onygenales; Ajellomycetaceae
Also listed under: 1 other name
Description: hypothetical RNA
Source: RNAcentral
GCGGAGUGUAUAUCUGGGACAUGGCGGGAGGCUUUACCGGCAUGUUUGCCUGGUUGACAGUAUGUUGUCCUAGCUCUUGGGUGAUCUCGGGCUGUAGGAACCCCGGCGCAGCCAAUUGGUCCUCAAAGGAACCUUCUACUUGGGAGGCGUAGGCUUCUUCUCCGCUGUCAGGUCCAAGAUAUUUAACGCACGUAUUGUAUGCCGAGCAGUCGGUGUCCUGCUCGAAACUGAUGGAAGUCUCUGAGUUAUAUUCAUCUGGAAUCUCUUGGAACCUCGCGUCGCCAAAAUAAUUACAGGAGUUUGGCUCUGUAAGCUCAUAUCCCCGUGAAGGCAUUAUUCCACAAUUAACUGGAUCCAUCAACAUACGGCCUGGCAUAUGGGGCGUUUCUAGUACAUUGCCAUAGUAUUGAUAUCCGAAUGUAUCGGGAAUGGGAGCAGUUGUGAUCGGGUAAUUGCCUUGCACGUCAAUUUCAUUCGAUGUUAAGGCACCGUCAGAAUUGCUCAGCGGAGAUGUGAGUUGUGGAUGGUGACUGCAUCCAUGUGGGUUGCAGCAGCCAUAGCAAAAUGUUAUAUUUAGCGACGGACUUUGAGCAGCGUAAGCCAUCGGGGGCAUGUGAGGUGGGUGGCGAUUCGGCUGUCCUGCUAGCAAUAUAUCCUUUUUGUUUUGCUUCAAUCUGGUCUGGUUUGGUUGGAAUGCAGGGAGUGGAAAUAAACAGAGCGGAGUAUAUGCGACUUGUUUGAGACCCUAUAGCGGAAAUUCCUUUUCAUCAGUAUGGAGGUAACGGAGGCCUUCGCAUUUCACGUUGAAGAUGAAAAUACACUCACACCUACUACCCGCCCUCUAGAGACCUCCCCAAAAAAGGAUCAGCAAAUCAGCUAGCUUCAGCCGAAAUACUCAGCUGAUAGGCCCUUGAUCGAAGCAGACGUAAAACGAGAAUUUAAGCAG